AACGCUGGCGGCGUGCCUAAUACAUGCAAGUCGAACGGUCUUUCUAUGGAAGCUUGCUUCCACUGAGAAGAUAGUGGCGAACGGGUGAGUAACACGUGGGUAACCUGCCCAUAAGAGGGGGAUAACAUCCGGAAACGGGUGCUAAUACCGCAUAGUUUUCUUGAUUGCAUGAUUGAGAAAGGAAAGACGGCCUUUGUGCUGUCGCUUAUGGAUGGACCCGCGGCGUAUUAGUUAGUUGGUGAGGUAACGGCUCACCAAGACGAUGAUACGUAGCCGACCUGAGAGGGUGAUCGGCCACAUUGGGACUGAGACACGGCCCAAACUCCUACGGGAGGCAGCAGUAGGGAAUCUUCCGCAAUGGACGAAAGUCUGACGGAGCAACGCCGCGUGAGUGAAGAAAGGGUUUUCGGAUCGUAAAACUCUGUUGUCAGAGAAGAACAAGUUGGAGAGUAACUGCUCCAGCCUUGACGGUAUCUGACCAGAAAGCCACGGCUAACUACGUGCCAGCCGCAGC
Molecule: ribosomal RNA, 514 nt
Filed under: uncultured bacterium
Lineage: Bacteria
Description: bacterial SSU rRNA
Rfam family: Bacterial small subunit ribosomal RNA
Source: RNAcentral